CCAGCCGCCGCUGCCCCACCCAUGUUUCUCCUCCACCCCCUCCUCCCUCCUCACCUCCCGGACCAGCCACCGUCGCGCCGCUGGGGUUCGUCCGCCGCGGGUUUCCACGGGGAAGGAGAAGCGACGGGGGUAGGCCCCAAGCGGCGCACACUUCAUGGGGAGGCAAGGAACUAGGAGGUGAUGGGGUCGGAUCUUGUGGUGCUAGGUCGGAGCUCGAUCCCUCGCCUCCCGAACCAGCCGUCGCCGCGCUGCUGGGCUUGGGUUUCCAUGGGGAAUCACUACACAGCAGCACGCCUCCCUCCUUCAUCAUCGUCAUCAGAGCCGCCGCACCUCUCCUUCCUCCUCACUCGCACCCCUGCUGCGGCGCGCAUCCCCCCCCUUUCGAUCUAAUUUCAUUCUUGUUUCACAUUUGGUUUGGUUGGCAAGAGACGUUGCCGUGCCGACUGCAGUAGCCAGGGUUGGCGUUGGUGAUGUCUGUAGGUAUUUUCGUCCUCGCCAGUCACACAUUUACUAGGUUUGGUCAAUGUCUCUGGAGCUAAUGUAUUAUCCUCUGAUUUCUCCUAUAUUUCCCUUCCUGAUUUUGUUUGAUGAUUUGCCAGGUUAUGGGACUGGAUCUCCCUUUUCUAAGAUUCUUAGCUGAUAAGUAUAUUGUGCAGAAAAGUCUCUACAGAAUGAUGUUGUGCACAUCCAAAUCCAAGCAAUGUAAGUGACCUAGCAUUUCACUGGUGGUAUGGUACAUCUCAUACAAUUUCUGAAUUCCAAUACCGUUCAUGUGUAGUUGGAUACUCCAUGGGGCAAAGUUGAAGCUUUGUACAUCACUUCUCUCCAUGUUUAUUAAUGUUUCUUCAUGUUUGGCAGUGAUAUGGGUUUCCAUGUACUUUAUAUAUGCAUUCCUUGUGUUCCAUCUAUGUAUAUAUGUUUCUGCCCAUAAAUGUAUUUAUGAGCUGACUCCAUUUUUUACUGCUUUUCUGUGGCAAUUUGAAAAGGACCCUUAAAUGGUGCUCAGCCACCAUCCGAUUUCGAGGGAGAAUAGGAGACCCCGACGAAAAUGAGCGUCCUAGCAGCGAACCCAAGGAUGCCGGUGAUUACGGCAGGUCCAUGCUCCUGUUCUUCUAUUGGGUGAGCUUCUUCACUCUUCUUGUCAAGGAGAUGUUCAUGUCUAGCAAGGUUCCUACAAAGAGGAUUCUUUUUGUUUCUUCAGUUGACCAGAUGCUCGGAUCUAGCUAGGCUUUCAUAUAGAAAAUUUGUCCUCUUUUUAAGUUUGUUGGGUACCUCAGCUUAGUUUUUGCAAAGUGGAUUUUUGUUUGUUACUGCUCAGGAGAUGCUCUCGGAUCUAGCUAUAUUCCUAGAAGUUUUUUUGUUGGCUUUCUUGGUUUGUUUGGUACCUAGAUCUUUCCUCGUCGAGAAGGGGAUAGAUUUGUCGUGGAGCUCCUUUUCUCUUUAUAGAGGAGUCUUUUGUUCCUUUUCUUGAUUUGGUGCCUGGCGUGGGUAACGGGGACAGGCGACCACGGGCGGAUUUUGGGGAGGCGCCAAGGUGAGCUUCCCCACCGCUCUUCAUCUCUCUCUACACACGUCUAUGCAAGAUUUUUGUAGCGCAAAUGCCCCCGUACCAUGUAAGCCUUCCCUUUCCCUUUUCAUCAUCAUGGAAAGACAUGGAUUGUAAGAGGUGCCAUUCAUCAGUAGAUAUUCAACCAUUGCCAUUCCCUUCUCAACAUCACAAGAGGAUACCUCUGUAGCUAAUGCACACCAUUAGUUUGAUAUAUACUGUAUUAGUGAAAUUACUUAUACAGACCAUUGACUGGUGUGUAGGGAGCCCUUCUAAUUGGUGAUCUAUGUGUGUUUUCUUUUCUUUUUUGCUGUAGCAGCCUAGCAGGCAUGGUUUAACCAUAGGCUUCCAGUUACUCUAUGUUUUGGGUGUCAAAUAAAUAGGCCGUUUUAGGCUAUGCCUUACAUUCUUUUCAUACUCUGCAAAUUAAUAUCAUCCAUUUUAAACCACAGGCUACGCCCCCAAUGGUGAAAAUCCCCUACAGAAUGGUGCUGGAUGUCCUUUUAGAAUCUUUGGGCCUGCCAGUGGCUGAGUAUCGAACCAAAGCAUGCGACCUCUUUGAAGUGCAGCACCAUCCUACCCCCUUUGGCCCUUCCCGUCCAGUUUUGCCUCACCAUGUAAGCAUCCAUCUGCUCCUCCUCUAGCUCUCGUCCUCCUGCUUCUUCUCCUGGGUGGACAUGGACACUGAACCAUGCUGGAAUGAGCUCGGAAUUGUCCCUUCCAUUCUCCCCAUUUAGCUCAUUUUUUCCCGUGCAGAGGAGGAAGACGGGAGCUGCCUACCUGCCUGCUACCCCAAAAGGAUGCGCCACCCAGUCAGCCGAGUGAUGGUAGAUCCAAGUGGAAAUGGCUCUGGUGAGCUUAUGUGUAAAAAAAUCUCACAAUGUUUAUGAAUUUCAGAAUUAGCAGCAUUUGUUGUUGUGCAUUACCGGAUUUGCUAACAAACAGUCUCUUUUGUUAUUGAUUGAUUUGCAGGCUCACUGGUUUUGGUUCAGUUUGAAGGGCUCUCGGGGCAAAAGAUAAUUGAGUUGUUGAAUCUAAAUAUUAGUCAGUACAAACUUCUAUCUGUAAAGUUUAGAUACAAUUAUGUGUCUUGAAUUAUUUUUAUUUCCUGUUUCUUAUGCUAGGCCUAAGAUAGGUGUAUUUGCUGUUUAGGUUGGUUCUAAACUACAUGUUUCCUAAUUUUAUAGUUUUUUAGCUUUCAGAAAAACUAUAAAAUUAGGAAACAUGUAGUUCAGAAUAAAGAAUGAAAGGCUAAAUUCUUAUUUCAGGAUUACACUCAUGACUUUCAGACUGCUGAACAUAUUUGAUACAUCUUCCACCUCUCCGCUACUACCACCAAGCAUGGAAAGACUGCGGUUGCAGUAGCGACAAUGACUCGUUUCACUCUUUGUCUCAUGAUGAUUGGUUGGCUGCAGGGGCACCGCGAGGAGUGGAGGAUCGAGGUCGUGGGUUGCCAGCUUCAAAUUUUGGUUGAGCACUUCCUCAAUAAUCUUGUUGAGGUGUCUGUUUCCCCUCUUUGUAUCAUGAAUGAUUGUGUUGGCUGUAGGGUCUCCGCAAGGAGUUGAAGGCUGAGGUCAUGGUUGCCAGCUUCAAUUUUUUGCUGAGCAAUUCCUCAAGAGUCUUGCCAAGGUGCUCUCCUCUCACUUUUUCUCUUACUUCCUCCCCUCCCAUCGCUAAUGUUUAAACUUACUAAUAUAUUAGUUUUUAAACAUUACGUGUGCAGAUCUGAGGAUGAAGGGAAGAAGAAGAAUUUAACUAAAGAGUUCAAGAAGAUGAAGGUGAAUUUUCUUCCCUUUGUUCUUCUAUUCUGAUGUUAAGAUUUGUGAUGGCUAGAUGAGAUUUCUGGUGAAAAUUUCCCAUUCUUUUAUUUACCUACAGAUCUUGAAUGCACGAUUGAUGAUUUUGCUGGAUAGGUUACAAAUCUAAAUAAUAAACAUUUUUAAGUGAUGUGGUUGGUACACAUGCGAAGCUAAGAAAAUAUAUAGUUUACUCACAGUGUUGUUUGAUCCAUUGUUGUGUGACACGCUCGCUGAUGGUCUGGCAAUGCUGCAUAUACAUCUGAAUGCCAAUGAUAGUAUGGUUUAGAUAGACAAGUUAAUAAUUUCUUUUUCUUCAUCAAGUUUAUGCUUCCAUUGAUCUACAUUUAAUUUAAUUCACAAACCAGACACCCUUUGGAGUAGCCAAUGUGUAUCUCUGAAUCUUGGCACUUGGGUGUUAUAUGUAUUUCAUUGGUUCAUCGCUCACUGUAGCAAUGCACGGGCCAAAGACAAUCGGCAAUAAAAACAAUCUGCUUGCAAGUUCUAUAUUACCAGCGGAGGCUUUGCCAAGAGGAAGGGUAAUUCGUGCAGGGAAUAAACCUUACAUGGUAAUCAAGGGGAACAUGCUUUAUAAGUUGAGCUUUUUGUAAGCUAAGCUAUGUUUUUCAACCCGUUGUUCUUUAGAUAUCUUCCUUUUACAUUUUUUAUAUGCGAUGGUUAGUUGAUCAGGCUGAGUGCUUCUUUGCAGUGCUUGCUUUAUUGGAACAUGUUCAUUUGGCUAAUAAAACAGUACACAUCUCUCUUGAAUUAUGUGCAUCUCCUUUUUAGUUAUUUGAUUUUUUAGUGACUCGCUAAUUGGAAAAUCAGGAUGCUAAAACUUGGCAUAAUGAAUUCUUGAAUUACGUACUUCUUAUUGUGCAUGUCAAACUGAGGACUAAAUAUAUUUUUAGUUGAGCUAUUGUUUUGAGUAUUUCCCUGCAACAACUUAAAUUACUUUUUGCAAAUAAAAUGAGCUAGCAUAUGCUAUACUUGCAAUGGUAAAUUAAUUAUGCAGUUAUGAGGAUUGAGGAAAUUAAUGGUCAGUCAAUCAUUGAGGGUUUGAAAGAGCCAUCAAGGCAACGAUCUCAUUUCAUCUCAUGCACUGAUUUUGUUAUCUUCUUUAUAUGGCAUUUUAUUAAUUAUUUAUAUAUAUUUGCCGUAUUGCUGUUUCUAAAAAUUGCUGUAUCCUUUGUCCCCAUUUCCGUAUCGCCGUAUCUGUGUUGCCGGUGCACCAUAGCAAUUAAUUAUUGAAGAAAAAUGCCCCUUUUCUUGUCCCAUUGCUCGAUAAGCAUGAUCGCAUUUCCACCGAUUGAUUAUAAAUAUGGCCUUUCUUUUGAUUAUUUGGUGGUACUUCUGAUUGGCACUAUGAGGUGCUUCUUCGUCGUGUAGAUUCAUCCUUUACUUAAAUAUUGAUGAUGAUAUGGUUGUAAAUUAGUCUGGUAUAUGCCAAUAGUUGUCUCUCCCAGAAGAAUUUUUGUGAGAAUAGCGUACCUAAAGAGUUGGUUGUUUGUCUGGAUUGAACACCCAGCUAUAAGAAUGGGUUGACAACACCGAUUGACUCUAUUGGCGCUUCUAUGUUGUCCGGCUUCAUCAUUUACUUAUACACUGAUGAUAUUGUUGUCAGCGUGUUGUAAGUACUUUGGGAAACAAGUCUGGUAUAUUACAAUGAUGUAGUCCUGCAGAUCAGUACAGGUCACUGGCUUUAUAUUGUGGUCAGUGUGUUGUAAGUACUUUGGGAAACAAGUUCUGGGGUAAAUUUAUCUGCUUGCUCAUGCAUUUUAAUACUUGAUUGAUGUCUUGAUAAUUUGUGAAGUUCUGUGUACCAUGUGAUAAGCUGCACAUCAGGUUGCAUGGCAGCUUGUUUGUUUCUUUUAGGAUGUGCAUGUACCCAGGUGGAUCAAAUAUAGAUACCAAUCAUAUAUUAUUAUUUUUACUCAUGUGUUUUUCUUGUGCCUCCCAAACAUUUCGAGGGAUUAUAUAUAUCAUUCAGAUGUAUUCAGGCUGGGUUUCUAUGAUCCAAAAAAAUCAUCUGCCAUGGCUUUCUUUUUACAUACAAAACUAAGUGUGGAGCAGUGUAUAACUAUAUAUGUUCAUUGUUUUCUUAUCACAUCGCAUUUGUCGGAGGUGUUGUACUGAUUUGAAGGAAAUGCUUUUAUAUUUCCAAGUUGAUCAACUACACAACUUCUGAUCCUAAAGCCUUUCUUUAAAAGGGGCUGGUCAAUGCAGCUCCAUGUUGUGCUAUCUUGCUAUUGGGCUCUUUUUUCGUUACUUAAAAUGGUCAGAUAUCUCUGAUGUUAAAUUCGUGGUUGAUUGCUUAUAUCCAAAAGAACUAUGUUAGUACACUGAAGCCAAUUUCUACAUUGUUAGUGAAGUUGGCUAAAUAGUUUUUGCGCCACUAAGAUAUAUAUGUGCACUGCAUUCUAACCAUGUAAAUUGUUGUGCUAUUAGUUUAAUCCGGAAUAUAAUUAUGUUAGUACACUCUGCAAUAUAAUUAUGUUAUAUUCUGCUUUUGUCAGUUUGCUGGUCCAUACUAAUUUCCUCGAGCUUAUUUUCACAUCUCGUCAUAUUUACACCUCUCCGCCGACUGCCACCUAUCAUGGAGGGAGAUGGCUUGGCCAGGCCGUCAACACUCAUCGGCAACUUCGGGCAGGCACCGCCCCGUUCUUCCUCCCCUUACUCUGAUGCCUUCAUGGCCAAAAUCAUUAGUAGAAGCAAGAAGGUUAAGCACCGAUUAUGGUUAAAGCUUUGUCUCUUUUAUGUACUAUGCAUGAUUGAUCUGAUUUUGCUGGUUAGCUUACAAAUUCAAGUAAUACGACUAUUGCAAUGCAUAUUACUACGUGUGUAUUUAUUUCCAUUGAUAUUUUCUCCUCCUUAGGCUCCAAAUCGUUUGUGGGUCAUAAAUGAUUGUGCAUUAUUGAUGAUUAAUGUGCAAUUUAAGUGACAACAGGGCUGGGUUUUAUAAGUGCAAUGGCUUGAAAUGUGACCUUCCAGUCAAGAAAUUUCCACAGUGAGAAGCUUAUGUGAAGAAUGAUGUAAUUAAGUUAGCAAUUUACAGUUCUCUUUCAUAAUUGUAACUGAAUUGUCAAUGGCCAGUUUUCUUGAAUAACGAGUUACUCCCUCAAUUUUACAAUAGAGAUAAUUUGUCAAAAUUGUGUUUUUGUAAUGUUUGUGGUCUUCUCUUUUCUUUUUCUUGAUUUGUAUUGUAUAUGCUACUCGCAUAUUUGAACAUGCAUAGGGCCUCUCAGUCUUUAACCCUGACUAUAAAAAUCCAUUGAUGGAAGUUGGGGAGGGCCGAGAUGAACAUCCGGCUCCCGGGGUCUAAGCCAUCGAGAUGGUAGAGACGAUGUUUCCAUGUCACCUACUCCAGCAGCUGGACAACGUAUAUAAAAACCAUGGAUCCUUGCUCCCCAGGCCGCAAAAUGAUCACAGUGAUGUCUACGACCUCCUCCUAGAUGUAUUAAUCUCAAUCUCAUGUUUGGUUUUCUUCCAUUUUCUCUUAUAAUGAUGCAAUUUCUUUUACUAAGAUAACGCCAUGUUUGUUGUUAAUGCCUUAUUUGAUGUAAGACCUCUUUUCUACUUUGAAUGAAUUUACUGCAUAUAUUUCUUAUUUAGUUUAGUUCAUCAUUCAGAGACAGUGGAAUAUUUUUGUCCUUCAUAGGUUAAAUGAGCACUGCGUAGUCCUUCAGAGGUUAAAUGAGCAUUGCGUAAAAGUAUGUCUAAGUUCUCUUUCUUUAAGUGCUUCAAGUAAAUGAAAUUGUUUAUUUCAAAUUUAAUACCUUUUAAUAAUAAUCAUAAUGAGAGAGGGGUAUGCUUCUCUCUCUCUCCGGGCAAAUGUUACUUUAGAAAACAUGUACUAAGAAAUAAAAAACUCUGGAAAUGUGUUUGAAUCGCACAAAAAGAGUUUGUAGUUCUUAUUCAUACUUGAAACACGUGAGGUUCUGCAAAUUAAACCAUAUUUUUUUCAAGGCGCAUAUGGAUUUAGAAGACCACAACUAAACCGACUAUAUAUACAUGGCCUGUCCUUAGUAAAGGAAACUAUUUUCAUCGCGAACAUGGCUUUAGUUGAAGGUUCUUGCAGCAUGAAACUAUUUUCAUCGACAACAUGUCUUCAGUAGGUCUCUGCGUCAUUUGGCGCAACGGGUCAACUAGUAUGAUUAAAGAUAGAGCCGGGGGCCAUAGGUUUCACUAGUGGCUUCUCUCAAGAUAGCAUAAGUAUUACGGUGGGUGAAAAAAUUACUGUCGAGCAAUUGAUAGAAAAGCGAAUAAUUAUGAGAUUAUCUAGGCAUGAUCAUGUAUAUAGGCAUCACGUCUGCAACAAGUAGACCGACUCCUGCCUGCAUCUACUACUAUUACUCCACACAUCGACCGACUCCUGCCUGCAUCUAGAGUAUUAAGUUCAUAAAGAACAGAGUAACGCAUUAAGCAAGAUGACAUGAUGUAGAUGGAUAAACUCAUGCAAUAUGAUAUAAACCCCAUCUUUUUAUCCUCGAUGGCAACAAUACAAUACGUGCCUUGCUGCCCCUGCUGUCACUGGAAAAAGACACCGCAAGAUUGAACCCAAAGCUAAGCACUUCUCCCAUGGCAAGAAAGAUCAAUCUAGUAGGCCAAACCAAACUAAUAAUUCGAAGAGACUUUCAAAGAUAACUCAAUCAUACAUAAAAGAAUUCAGAGGAGAUUCGAAUAUUUCUCAUAGAUAAACUUGAUCAUAAACCCACAAUUCAUCGGAUCUCGACAAACACACCGCAAGAAGAGUUUACAUCAAAUAGAUCUCCACAAGAGGGGGGGAGAACAUUGUAUUGAGAUCCAAAAAGAGAGAAGAAGCCAUCUAGCUAAUAACUAUGGACCCAAAGGUCUGUGGUAAACUACUCACAACUCAUCGGAGGGGCUAUGGUGUUGAUGUAGAAGCCCUCCAUGGUCGAUUCCCCCUCUGGCGGAGCGCCGACGAAGGCUCCAAGAUGGGAUCUCACGGAUACAGAAGGUUACGGUGGUGGAAAUUGUGUUUCGUUGGCUCCCUGGAUUUUUUCGGGGUACGUAGGCUUAUAUAGGAGGAAGAAGUACGUCGGUGGCCGCCCGAGGGGCCCACGAGAUAGGGGGCGCGCCCAGAGGGGGUGGGCGCGCCUUCCUGUCUCGUGGCCGCCUUGGCUGCUUCUUGACUUGGACUCCAAGUCCUCUGGAUCACGUUCGUUCCAAAAAUCUCGCUCCCAAAGGUUCCAUUCCGUUUGGACUUCGUUUGAUAUUCCUUUUCUUCGAAAUACUGAAAUAGGCAAAAAAAUAGCAAUACGGGCUGGGCCUCCGAUUAGUAGGUUAGUCCCAAAAAUGAUAUAAGUGUGUAAAAUAAAGCCCAUAAACAUCCAAAAGGGGUAAUAUAAUAGCAUGGAACAAUAAAAAAUUAUAGAUACAUUGGAGACGUAUCAAUGACACACCAUAAAAGUAAAUAGAUAGUCCCUUCGCAAAGGGAAGAAGUGAUUUGCAGCGGUGCCAGAGCUCAAGUUUUUAAAACAGAGGUAAAUGAAAUUUUGAGAAAUGCACCCUUCUUGUUUACUUCGUGACCAUUAGUUAUUGGUAUGUUCCAUGCUAAACACAUUAGUGGUGGUUCCCAAGUGAUAAAAGUAAAGGUUUACUCCCCCCACCAACAAUCACACUCCACAGCUUGUCCGAAACAAUGGGUGCCGUCCAUACCAACAAUAGUCUGAGGGAGUUUUGUUUAAUUAUUUGCAAUUUGAAUUCGGGACUGGGAGUCCCUAUUAUCGCCCCUCUCUUGCAAGGACGAGUGAAUAAACACUCAUCAUGAGCAUAACCCGCUUAGCAUGGAAGAUACUGACUACCUCCUAUCGCUCUAUGAACAAUCCAGGCACACAAAAAGGGUAUUUAUUUGAAGUUUUUAGAGGUGGCACAUGCAAAUUUACUUAGGACGACAGGGUAAUACCGCAUAUAGGUAGGUAUGGUGGACUCAUCUGGAGUAACUUGGGUUUUAUGGUUUUGAUGCACAAGCAGAAUUCCCACUUAGUAAAGCCGAAGGCUAGCAAUUAGGUUGAGAAACGGCCAGCUAGAGAGCGAAAAUGGUCAUGAACAUGCAUUAUGCAUAAGUAACAUUUGAUACUAGCAUGAGUAGGAUAUGAACACCAUGAACAUACAUAUCAUAGAGGCUAUGUUGGUUUUGAUUCAACUACAUGCAUGAACAUGCGCCAAGUCAAGCUACUCGAACGUUCAGAGGAGGAUACCAUAUCAUCAUACUACAUCACAAUCAUUUUAAUGCAAUGUUGACAUCCAAGAUAAAUCAUUAUCCACUCCUAGCUACUUAUGCAUGGCAUGAGAAACUAUAAUCUCUAAUUGUCAUUGCAAACAUGUUUGAUUAUAAUAGGCUGAAUCAUGGAUACUAAGUUAAACAUAUUUACAAAAACAGAACAAGUCGAGUUCAUAACCGUUUCUCUCUGCCAUAGCCAAUUCAUCAAAUAUCGUCAUUAUUGCCUGUCACUUGCACAACCGAACGACAUGAAAAUAAUAAUAGUGCAAGAGUGCCGUGGACUAAGCUGGAAUCUGCAAACAUUUUAUUCAAAAGGAGAAGACAAGGUAACAUGGGCUCUUUAUUAGAUCAACAAUAAUGCAUAUGAGAGCCACUCAACAUUUUCAUCGUGGUCUUCUCCUCGGUAUGACUCACAGAAAGAAAAAGAAAAUCAGAGAAACACACUGAAAUAUUUUUGGAGUUUUUGGUUUUUCUUGAACAAGCAAAUAAAAGGGAAAAACAAAAACGGGAAAAACUAUUUACAUGGGAAAGCUCCCAACAAGCAAAAGAAGAACAAGGAAAUAUUUUUGGGCUUUCUUUCUAGUACUACAACUAACUACGCCAGGAAGAAAAAUCAAAAAGAACCAGGAAAUAUUUUUGGGUUUUCUCAAAGUUUUUCAAAUACACAAGAAGAAGGCGAGAAAAUAAAUCUAGCAUCUAUUAUACAAUGAAAAAGUGUGGACACCAACAACUGGAAUGAAAUGUGUGAGCAUGAAAGUAACGUCGGUGGAAAUGCGUACUCCCCCAAGCUUAGGCUUUUGGCCUAACUUGGUAAUCACCACUUGAAGAAGCCAUGAGGUCCUACGUUGAAGUGCUGGGGAGCAGGCACCUGAGGAUCCCACUUCUGAGGCUCCUCCAGCGCCACAACCAGGUUUUUCCGAUAGGCAACUGUCGGCGUUCUGGGAACGGGGGUCCCCAGACUUGCUUGCCUGCGGCGUGGCUCAGGUGGUCGCCCAGUACGGCCCGUCUUCAUCAGCACAAGACUCAAGACCCUCGCAAGGGGCCAAGCCUCACGGGGUGAACGACGCAAGGCUUCCUUAGGGACGGCCUCGCCAGGCAGGCUCGCGAGGAGGCGGAGAGAUCAAGGCAGGGUACCUCAUGAGGUGCUCGUGAUGCAAGCCAUGACGAUCGAGGCCAGGCAGGCGCCAGGCGGGCGCCGGCCUGCGCAGUGUCCUUGUUUCCUCUUUGGUGCAAAGGGGGAAAGCACAGACAUGGAGUACCGAGGCAUCAGGCAAAGGUUGCCAUUUCGGUGCAACGAGACCAAGACCAGCGGAGCGCCAGGAUGGAGGUCACCGUGGAUCCCAAGGCGGCAUCAUCGCCAGUGCUUUUGGCAGCCGAAGACCAACUUUAGUCAGGAUAACUUGUACUGGAUGUUCCCCUUCGAAAUGGCCGUUGUUGGCGCCCUUCCCGCUCAAUAUUUGGGGAGAGGCCCAAGGCCUCUAUAAAUAGGAAGUCUAGAGAGAGAGAGAGAGGCGAUCAAACUCACCCGAGCAGUUCAUCGCAUCAGCCCAAGAACACCUCUCGCGAGGCUGUUCUCCCUUUGUACUGUUCAUCAUCAGCCCCUGAGGCAAUCCACCACACCACACACUGGAGUAGGGUAUUACACCACAACGGUGGCCCGAACCAAUUAAAUCUCGUGUCCCUUAUGUUGCUCAUUGUUUCCAGCUUAGAUCUCACGAGGCGAUCGGACGUAGAUCGGUAGGGGAGAGAUCUCCGUGCGCAUCCCAGAGUUCGAACCUUAAGGGUCUGCCGGAACCCAACAUCCGACAUUUGGCGCGCCAAGUAGGGGGUGCGCCGGAGCUCUCCCUUCCGUCGACCCGUUCCCCCAUCAACACCACGCUCUGCCCACAUGGUGGCCAACGCACCGCCCGCCCCAGCUGUUGACACCGACGCGGAGACCGGGGGGCUCCGAGCCCUGGCCCCCGCCUUACGGCGGGUGCAGUGACCGCACAAGUUCAAGCCGGACAUGCCACCGCGCUACGACGGUGCGGCCGACCCGCAGGCCUUCCUGUUGGCAUACGAAGAAGCCGUCCUCAAGGCCGGAGGCGACGACAAGGUCAUGGCGAACUGGCUGCCCAUGGCCCUCACCGGCGUCCCGCACAUGUGGCUGCUCCACCUGCCAGCGGCUUCUAUGGCCUCCUGGGAGGAGUUGCGCAACCUCUUCCUCGCCCAUCAUGCUGCGCCGGCACCUCAAGUCGUCGCGGCCAUCCUGGGCGGAUCGCAUGCGCCACCUUCGAGCCGCCACAUCAAGCCGUUCGUCCGCCAGAUUGGCGCCGCCCUUAAGAGCCGAGAAACUCCCCCGGGCUGGGUGCCACCCAGGGCCGAUUUGACCUUCAGCUCAGAUGAUCACCCCUCCAACACCGCCUGUGCGGGCGCGCUCCCGAUGCUAUGCACCCCCACCAUUUGCCAAGUGGCCGUCACCAGGACCCUCAUCGACAGUGGUGCCGGCCUCAACGUGCUCUCGGUGGAGGCCUUCAGCCUCCUUCACGUGCCGCUAGAGCGGCUUCAACCUAGCAGGCCCUUCUUGGGCGUCGGAGACGGUUCCACCGGCUCCCUGGGGCAGAUCCGCCUCCCGGUGACCUUCGGCACCCACACAACUUUCGCACGGAGUUGAUCGACUUCGACAUCGCCCCCAUCGGCCUCCCGUACAAUGCCAUCCUCGGCUACCCAGCCUUGGCCCAGUUCAUGGCAGCGACUCACCUGUCAUACAACCUCAUGAAGAUGCCCGGGAGCAGCGGAAUCCUUACCGUGUCUGGAGACACAAGGGAUGCGCUGCAGGCGCUCAAGCUUGCCUUCAAGGUAGCCGCGGCGGUGCAGCCCGCCAGCGCAGAUGUCCUCGAGCCCAAGGGGGCUGCACCGGCUAAGAAGAAGCAGCUAUUCAGCCAAGACAAGGCGGAGACCAAGCAGGUACCGGUCGAUGAGGAUGGAUACACUGGCGCCACCUUCACCAUAGGCGCCAACCUUGAGCCUGAGCAGGAGGAGGCCCUGGUCAGGUUCCUACGCGCAAACAAGAAGGUGUUUGCAUGGGAGCCUAAUCAGCUGGUAGGGGUCCCAAGAGAUGUAAUUGAACAUCAUCUCAAUGUGUGCCCCAACGUGCGCCCCGUGAGGCAGAAGGCAAGGCGGCAGUCCACUGAAAAGCAGGCCUUCAUCGUCCAAGAAACCCGCAAGUUAGAGGCAGCAGGAGUCAUUUGUGAGGUCCGCUACCUUGAUUGGCUGGCCAACCCUGUUGUCGUGCCAAAAAAGGGAGGAAAGGAAUGCAUGUGUGUUGAAUUCACCAUCCUCAACAAGGCCUGCCCACAGGAUCCAUUCCCGCUCCCUCGCAUCGACCAGAUCGUCGACUCUACCGCUGAGUGUGACCUAUUGUGCUUCCUGGAUGCCUUCUCGUGCUAUCACCAGAUCAAGAUGGCGGUAGAAGACGUGGAGAAAACGGCCUUCCUAACCCCGUGUGGAGUAUACUGCUAUACCUGCAUGCCAUUUGGGUUGCGCAACGCAGGCGCGACCUUUCAGCGGCUGAUGCACAUCGCCUUGGGCCGGCAGCUCGGGAGGAACGCUGAAGCUUACGUCGAUGACAUUGUGGUGAAGUCUCGGGAGGCAAAAAUCCUGAUACAGGACCUGGAAGAAACCUUCACAAGCCUCAAUGAAGUGGACCUGCGGCUCAACCUGGAGAAGUGCUUGUUCGGAGUCCCCUCGGGCAAGCUCCUGGGCUUCCUCGUGUCCCACAAGGGCAUCGAGGCUAACCCAAAGAAGGUCAAGGUGGUCAAAGACAUGAGCCCGCCGAAGACUAUCAGAGAAAUGUAGAAGCUCACCAGGCGAGUAACCGCAUUAGGGCGUUUCAUCUCCAAGCUGGGGGAGCGAGCACUGCCCUUCUUCAAGCUGAUGAAGAAGAAAGGCCCCUUCGAAUGGACUAAAGAGGCCGACAAGGCAUUCCAAGAUCUCAAGAGGUACCUUACCAGCCCUCGGGUGAUGGUAGCUCCGCGCCCUCGGGAGCCCUUGGCGCUCUACCUUGCGGCCACCCCCUAUUCCUCCAGUGCAACCUUGGUGGCGGUUAGAGAGGAGCGCAGGGCCAAGGCCGCAGCUGCCGUCCCAGCCGGGGUAGAGCAAAGCCCGGAAGGCCUCGCGAAGACCACAACCGCAGUAGAAAAGGAUCAGCCUCAGCAGGGGAGCGCACCCAGAGCAGAGGAGGCCUCUCCAGGCGACCAAGCGUUGGGGCCUCCAUCACCUCAGGAGGCGCCUCAACCUCCGGAGGACGCAAGCUGCGCCAGUACCCUCAACCUCGUCGAGCACCCUGUCUACUUCGUUAGCACGGUGCUAUGGGACGCGAGGGCGCGGUAUCCCAUGCCCCAAAAACUCCUCCUCGCACUGUUGGUGGCCUCGCGCAAGCUGCGGCACUACUUUCAAGGCCAUUCCAUCAAGGUCGUCUCAUCAUACCCCUUGGAAAGGGUACUCAAGAGCCCCAACUCAGCUGGGAGAGUUGCUCAAUGGAACAUCGAACUGCAAGCGUUUCAGCUGGAAUUCAGCACGACCAGGGUUAUCAAGGGAGCCGCACUUGCAGAUUUCAUGGCGGAAUGGGCAGAGGCACAGGGGCUCAAAGCGGGCGAGGACCGGUCGCUUUCCCCAGGAAGUGAAGCCCCGAACGGCCGGGUCAUGUACUUCGACGGAGCAUUCUCGCGACAGGGCGCGGUGGCUAGCGCAGUGCUCAUAUCCCCCACUCAGGACAAGCUCUACUAUGCUGUGCAACUUUGCUGUCAGCAUGGAGAGAAGGUCUCCAACAACAUAGCAGAAUACGAGGGCCUGAUAGCGGGCUUGAAAGCUGCAGUCACCUUGGGGGUAAAGCGCCUCAUCAUCAAGGGCGAUUCACAACUCCUCGUCAACUUCUCCAACAAGGUAUACGAGCCUAAGGACGAGCACAUGGAAGCGUAUCUCGCGGAAGUCCGCGGGAUGGAGAAACAGUUUUGGGGGCUGGAGUUGCAACAUGUGCCUUGCGACACCAAUCAAAAGGCUGAUGACAUCGCAAAGAGGGCGUCCAGGUGGCUUCCUCAGGAGCCCGGCGUCUUCGAGGAGCGACUCUUCAAACCCUCGGCAUCGCCAUCACUAUCAAGCACAACACAGCCUAGGGAGGAGCUCCCUCAACCGCCUACCUCGGGAGCCCCGGCCUGCGGCCCAACCUCAGGGGCACGCUUGCUCCUGGCGCUGGAGCCUCAAGAGGGGUGUUGGACCGCGGAGUUCAAGGAUUACUUGAUGCAAGGGACCCUGCCGGACAAGGAGGAGGACGCGGAGCUCGUGGCGCGGCAGGCCACGGCCUACUACAUCCAAGACGGAGAGCUCUACCGAAAGCGGCCAAAUGACGUUACUCUACGUUGUAUCUCCAGGGAGCAGGGAAAGGAGCUGCUGGCAGACAUUCACGGUGGAGACUACGGGCACCACUCGUCUUCGCGCACACUCGUCGGCAAGGCAUUUCACAGCGGUUUCUAUUGGCCAACAGCACUCAACUACGCAAUCGAGCUGGUGAAGGAUUGUGAAGCCCGUCAGUUCCAUGCCAAGCAGAUUCACCAGCCAACUCAGGGCCUUCAGACCAUUCCCCUCUCGUGGCCGUUCGCUGUUUGGGGAUUGGACAUCCUUGGCCCAUUUCCUCGGGCGCCAGGGGGCUAUCGCUACCUUUAUGUUGCCAUUGACAAAUUCACUAAGUGGGCCGAAGUGGAAGCUGUCCGUGCCUUCCUGGCUGGCUCAGCAGUCAAGUUCAUCAGGGGCCUCGUGAGCCGGUUUGGGGUACCCAAUCGCAUCAUCUCUGACAACGGUUCACAGUUCACCAGCAAUCUCUUCAAAAGAUAUUGUGCUAACCUUGGAACGCAGAUAUGCUACGCUUCGGUGGCGCACCCUCAGAGCAACAGCCAGGCUGAGCGCGCCAUAGCGGAGGUCCCGAAGGGCCUCAAAACCUGAACCUUCAAGAAGAAGCUGGAGGCCUGCGGCAGGGGCUGGCACAAUGAGCUCCAGUCCGUGCUAUGGUCCAUCUGUACUACCGCUACCAAGUCGACCGGCGAAACCCCGUUCUUCCUCGUCUACGGUGCUGAGGCGUUCCUUCCUCACGAGGUCAGGCAUCGCUCCGCGCGGGUCCUGACUUUCGACGAAGCACAGCAGGACGCCAUGCGGGCGGUGGACCUCGUGCUUGGGGAGGAACAUCGUCGGGAGGCUGCGCUUCGGGCUACGAGAUACCAACAAGCACUGCAGCGAUACCACUGCCGCAGCAUCCACCCCAGGACCCUUGAGGUAGGUGACCUCGUGCUCAGACGGGUGCUCUCCAGGGAGGGGCUGCACAAGCUCUCGCCUAUGUGGGAGGGCCCGUUCAAGGUUGUUCAUGUCUCUAGGCCCGGCACUGCAUGCUUGGAGACUCAGGAGGGGGUGCCCAUCCCGAACGCGUGGAACAUCCAGCUUCUCCGGAAGUUCCACCCUUGAAGAAAGGCCCAGAGCCUGUAAAGAAGGCCCGGCGCCUGUGAAGCUAGACGAACCAAGAAAGGCCCGGUGCCUGUGAAGCUCAUUUCCCUGAGAAAGGCCCGGAGCCUGUGAAGAAGGCCAAUGCCUGUGAAGCUCGCCGCCCGUGACACUCUCACGUAAUAAUGAGUUGGGGCUGUACACGCCCCGGAGUCUCCGGAGAGCCGCCCACGGGCCUCGGGGGCUCCUGCCCACGCCUAGUGGCAGCACUUAGCUCCGCGCUGGUGAGAAGACGUCGAAGACUAGAUUAGCACCGGACGCGGCUUUUUCAUUUGCUUUCUGCAGUUGGCUUGUUCGUUCCUGUUUGAAGUUUCAUUGGAGUUGUUGCCGUCCUUAGCUUGUGACUCUUUGUCUUUUUCGCUCGCUUCCCUCGUUUUCUCUCGCGCAAGUCUCGCGAGGGGGCUACGCGGGCACCCUCGCGAGUGUUUUCUGCCCCGGUCGUUUGAAGCUUUCCUAUCCAAGUCCACUAUGGGAGCACCCCUCCCAGUCCGUGCCCUAUGGGCAUCGCAACGUGAACACAUGACCUGGGUCGGUCGCCUCCACAACCGAGACCGGAAACUACCCCUCCUGACUAAUCCUUGCAGGACAUGAAGCAUGCGGCGCGGCCUCAGCCUCGGGAAGCGAAGACCGCGAUGAGUUCCCCCGAGCUAAGUAAUUCCUGCACGCGGGCAUGCGGCACCAAAAACACAGCACAGAAAUAGCGGAAACAUCAUGAUAAUUAACAGCAACAGUUCAACACGCCCCCACGGGGCCCUACACUACUUUCUCUUUGCGCAGGGAAGGGAGAAAAACAAAAUAGGCACGACUUGCUCGGCACCAACUCGCGGCGAGGGCUCGUACUACCUCCGGAGCUCAGUUAGCCUCCUCCUCGCGCUUCACCGAGGCACGACGGCGGACUGACCCGCUACCUCCCUCCAGGUGGGCGCGAUGGUGCGGAGGCCGAUCGCGGCCACCGCUGUAGGAGCUGCUGUCCGAAGGGGAGCCGCCGAAGCUUGACGAGCCCCGAGCACCGCCGACCACGCGCAUGCCGUCAUCUUCAUCUCGAUCAUCGCUGGGGCUGGGUACAUGGCCGCGGUCAUCGUCUUCGGGGCAGCACCCAGCACGGCGACCGUCCUCUAUGAACACCCUCACGUAGAGGGUGGCAUCGCCGUCGAACUUGAAGUGCAGGGUGCACCCCUGGCUCAUGCCACGCGCACGGGCAAACGUUUGCCAGCCGCAGGUCAGGGCCGCAUUCCCAGCGACGGAGACCUCCAACGAAGCCCAGGAGGCCCUGCUGCAGCAACCGUCCGCCUGAAGCUAGAGGCCGGCCGGAGCGCCGGUCGGAAGUUCGCACUACAAAGAAGCGGGGAAACUGGAGCCAGGUGCUGGUCGGAUCUGCCGACCACACGACGAACUCCGGCAGCACCUGCGCCGAGUGGAAGCACGGUCUAGGGGGCCGCGCAGUCACGGCGCGCCUCCCAUCGACAACUUGGCGCCCAUCGCCGCGCAGGGGAUCGCCCCCACGACCGCGGGAAGCCACUACGGGAGCCACAGGAUGCUUGCAAGGACGGCCUCGAAUGCGCUUGGCCGGGGGAGAGUCAGGCCCUUCCCGACGAGCCUUUCCCUUCUCUGCGGCUAAGAACCUCUUCGGUGGCGCCAUGGGGGAUGAAGAGUAGCUGGGAUGGAGAGAAAGAAGGAAGCAAGGAGGGAGAUGCACAGCGGAGGCCUACGCACUCCUGCAUUUAUAACCGGAAGGAAGCCAACUGUCGGCCCCCACGUUCGCAGGUAAUCAUGACCCGUUUCUGCAUGCAGGGACUUGUCAAGUCGAGCGGUCGCCGAGGCAGCGUGGGGAAGCGGAGAUGCCCACAUCCAAUCAACCGCCAUGCGGCACCCAAGGCCGCAGGCUAAUGGGCCCGCGGCGCUCCACACUUGCCCCACGCUUCUCCACUAAGCCAAGUCCGAGCGCGCCUUGGGCCCGGGGCUACUGUCGGCAUUCUAGGAACAGGGGUCCCAGACUUGCCUGCCUGUGGCCUGCGGCGUGGCUCGGGUGGUGGCGCAGUACGACCCAUCUUCAUCAGCACAAGACUCAAGACCCUUGCGAGGGGCCAAGCCUCGCGGGGCGAACGACGCAAGGCUUCCUCAGGGAUGGCCUCGCCAGGCAGGCUCGCAAGGAGGCGGAGAGAUCAAGACAGGGUACCUCACGAUGUGCUCGUGACGCAAGCCAUGACGAUCGAGGCCAGGCGGGCGCCGGCCUGCGCAGUGUCCUUGUUUCCUCUUUGAUGCAAAGGGGGCAAGCACAGACGUGGAGUACCGAGGCAUCAGGCAAAGGUUGCCAUUUCAGUGCAACGAGACCAAGACCAGCGGAGCGGUAGGAUGAAGGUCACCGUGGAGCCCAAGGCGGCGUCAUCGCCAGUGCUUUUGGCAGCCGAAGACCAACUUUAGUUAGGAUAACUUGUACUGGAUGUUCCCCUUCGAAAUGGCCGUUCUUGGCGCCCUUCCCGCUCAGUAUUUAGGGAGAGUCCUGAUAAGCACAUUUCUUAUAUACUAUUUGGGCACACAAAUUCACCUUUUAUUGAGAUAUAUCCAUCCAUUCUUGCUAUGACUUUUUGAAUAUUCGAAUGAUAAUCAUAAAAGAGAAUGUUGACUAGUGAAUUGUUUAUUUUGCAGAAAAGUGCGCAAAGGCACUAUAAUCGUCAAGACUUCUACUAUGUGGCUAACGAGAAGAGAGAAGGGCAUGAAAGAAAUACGUCAAGGCUUGAGCGUGAAGGAAAGAAGUAAUGUAGGGGAGCAAACUAAAAGAAGAGGAGGAUCUUCUUGGGAAGAAAGAAGAAAGGAGGAGGGCCAAAGUAAAAAAAGACAGAACAGAGGAGGGGAUCAAAAAUCCCUAGCGCAGCCGAUCCCCAUCAGGCCUGCAUCUCACCUCUCUCCCUCACCCCUCCUUCUCCACCACCGGCCGUCGCCGCGGCCAGGCCGGCGUGGCGGUGCGCCUGCUGCUCCUCCACUCAGCCACGAGCACCAUCCGCCGCACCAUCCAUCCAUCCCAGCCGCGCCGUGCCAUCCAUCCACCACUCCACCAGCGUCACUAGCUCCACUUCACCACCGCGCCUCACCAGCGCCCACCUCGCGCGCCCCUCCUGCCGCUUCCUCUCUGAACCCGCUGUUGCUGCUGCAUCUUCCUUCUUCCUCUCGACCUCCUGUUGCUCUUCUCCAAGCACCGCUGCUGCUCCUUCCUUGCAACCCCCCUGCUGUUGUUCAUCCUCUCCACCUCCUUGCGCCUCCCUGCCGGUACCCUUCUCUGCUCAAAACUGCUGCUGCUUGUGCACUCCAGCUUCUCCUUCUUCUCCUGCCUACUGCUGGUUCUUCUUCCCCACAUCACUUUUGCUGCUCCUCUUCUCUGCCUCGCUACUGUUCUUCUUACCUGAACCUCAAAAUUGCUGCUGUUCUCUUCUAAACAACAAAACUGCUGCUACUACUACCUCAACCUCCUAUUGCUUUCUUUCUUUCUCACUCUCUUUUAAAUUUCUGUAAGAUUGAGACGCAUGUGAUUUGUAUUAUUCAGAUUUGAUAAGUGUUAGUAAUCUACUGUUGUUCAGUUCAGACUUCCUGUGUGUGUUAAUUAGUUAAAAUUGUCACUUGUGUACUGCUUGUUGCAGAUUCUUGCUCAUUUUUGUUGUCUAUGUGUUAGCUCAUGCAUCUGAGAAUUAUAAAGACAUAUGUGUGUGUGGUUGAUGUGAAACAAUUAUAUAUAUGUCUCAUGUUUGUUAGUUAGUGGUUUGUAUAAAUUCAGAUUACUACUUGUGAUUUAAUUUUGUAUUGAAAUUGUUCUCUGUGGUAGUCAGUUGUGUGAUCAUUCAAUUUUCAGUCUAUGUAUUAGCUCUGUACCUGUAAUAUAUGUUGUGACAUGAAGCAUUUUCAUCCUUGUCCAUUAUCUUGUUUCUUCACUCUGUCAUACGCUUGUUAGAUAAAUAUAUGUGUUCAUGUCCUGUUGUUCCCUUUUGUGUUAGCAUUUUAGUUUCUCAAGUAACAGGAAAACACCAAAAAAGACAAUAUAGACAAUCUGAACCUCCCCUUUGCUUAUUUUACAUUUUCUUUGGCGACGAUCUUCGGGAACUACCUUGUUAGUUUAGGUUUAUUUUCUUGCAUUUAUAAUCUGAGUUCUGUCACCUAGCUUUAGCCGAGCAUUGUUGCUGUCGCCUAGUCCCUGUGGAGAACACGACACUCACAGUUCGGGUGAAAUAUCCCGCAGUACUUUCAAUCGAUCAUUUUGGCGCCGUUGCCGGGGACUAGCGUCGUGUGACCGUGUUAGGCUAUAGACUAGGUUUUGCUUCUGUUUCUAUCUGGUGCCAUAUAUUUGUGAUAUAUCUCUUACCCCUAACCACUGUUCUAGUUAUCUUCUCUUUCUUUUCUUGUUCAUUUUGUAGGUUGAAUUGUCUUCUCGGAUAUGGCUUACUAUUCAGAUCAUCAUGCUUAUGCGAGCAACACUACAAACAACACGGAAAGUAUUCAAGAACUGAUAAGUAAGAUUUCCCAUCAAUUAGAUGAUUUAGCUCAGCAGCGAGGAGUAGUUUUUGAGGAUAGGCCUAGUUCUUAUUAUCCUUAUUCCGGAAGCAAUCCUUAUGUUGCUCCUACAUGCCAUAUUUGUGGAUUUCAGGGCCAUUCGCCCGCUGAAUGUCAGCGUGGUUACUCUCACACUCCAGAUUGUUUUGGCAUGAGCUUCGCUCAAGAGCAUAGCUCAUACCAAAACAAUUACUCACAUGGGUGUCCUGAAAACCCGAAUAUGUCAUAUAGGAGCAACAACCCCGAGAUCUCACCGCUUGCUUCUAGUAAUCAUAUGCAGGGAUUUAGGUAUGAAGAGGAGAGCCACAGCUAUGCUCCACAACAGUCUUAUUCAGCUCCUAUUCAUAUACCUCAGCACGAGGAGAUGUUGCCAAUGGAGUUAAAUGGUCCUCCAUUUGGUCAACCAACACCUUCAACACAAGUGCCUACUCAAGAUGAGUUUGAUGACAUAGACAAGUUCACACUUUUGAGUCUUGAGUUCAGUUGGAGUGCCGAGGAUGAUCCUAUUAGGAAGGUUAUACUAGAUGAAAUGAAGAAGAUCAAGAGUGGGAAUGAGCUAGUGGAAGAAGUAAAGAAGAUUGAGAAGAACAUCAACGCUGGCAGCUCUAUUUCUUCACAGCUAGAGCUGAGUGUUGCUGAGAUUCCCCUUGAUACAUGUGAGGUUCCAACACCUUCACAUUUCGUUGAGCAAGUUAGCAAGUGCCUUGAGCAAGAGAUACCUCAGAUUGAAGAAGAUGAACUAGAAGACAAGGACCAAGAUGGUCAAGAGCUGCAAUUCCCAAGUGAUCAAGUUGAAGACUCAUCAUCUACUACUGAAGAACUACAAGAAGCUGCUGUAGAUAAAGAUGAAGAUCAUGAGAUUCAUUUGCCUAUUGUCAUACCAGAGCGUGAUGUGUCAGGUUUACUCAAUCCUCUUGAUGACAUGAUGCCUUGUGAUUUCUUUGCUACUACCUUGCUUUACAUGAUACUAUCACUUAAGAUUGAUUUGAAAACUCAUUUGCUUGGAUAUGAUGAUAUAUACCCUGUUAGUGGUAUUACUCUCAUUUGUGAUGAUCAUAGUUACUUUCCUCGUGCUAAUCCUAUGCUUAAUGAAACAUAUCACUCCCAUGCUAGUCUUGCACUUAAUGAUAAAUGUCAUCCUCGUGUGAGUAUUGACCAUGCUGAUUUCUGCCAUCCUAAACAUGUGCUUUAUAGUUAUGCUUAUAUAAUUGGAUAUUCCAUUGAUGACUUGGAGGGCAUCGACCGUAUCACUUGUAGUUGUUUGUGUGAGUCCUAUUUCAGGCUUUUGCUACUGCACUGUUUACUACAUGCUGACCAGGUUUGAGGUGACAUUCCUUGGGAUCCUGGUGGAGUCACAGCAUGGCGAUGAGGGGAGCACAAACAGGGAACACAAACAGAGAAGAGUGGAGAGAAGAAAGUAGGAGAGAAGAGUAUACAAAUACCAGGUGAUUCUGUUCCACUUGAAGCAACCUUUAGAAAAUUUAGUACGAGAACUGGCAUUUUAUUGCAUUGAAACGCUUUUUGCAUUGUGACACCUUACUCUUCACUGCAAAGUAGGAUUCACUCCAAGAAGAUUGUUGAUUCUCUUAAUACUAAAACUAUGCAGCAGUAUUCUUCUUAUGGUAAUUUGUGAUAAUGAAUACUUUAUACCUCCAUGUAAAUGUUCAAUGGGAAUGCCUUGAGUCUAAGUGAAACCUACUAAUGAAUUGAUGUGCUGUGUCUGACUGUCCCACGUUAAGCUAAGUAACUGGUGGCACUUAAGUAGUAGCUAUGAUCUCUGGAUCUGUAGUAUGUGAAAAACAGUGCCAUUAGUUAUGGAUUCCUCUUUCAAUUAUUCCUGUUUUACUUAAGCUAAGUAAUUUUCAAAUAACUAAAUAAAAUAAUUAUAAUAUUUUAAGUCCGAUCGACCUAUAGUAGCAUGUCAUGUUCCCUGGAUCGGUGGCUUGUGAAAUCUGGUAGAUUGGACUCUAAAAAAAAAUUAUAUAAAAAUGCUAUAAUUUGUCGAACCAGGUGUAUACCAUGUUCUCGGGAUCGGUGGUAUGUUCCUUUGGGGAGAUAACAAAAAAAUAUACUAAUAAUUUGGUCGAGCCAGGUGUAUACCAUGUUCUCGGGAUCGGUGGUAUGUUCCUUUGGUGAGACUGAUAUAAUAUCAUCACUUGUGCUUUAAAUUCAAUAAGUAACUUGUUUUUCUAAUUGAUUUUGGGGUCCCAGCUUAUCUCAGGGCUGAAGACAGAGCCAGCUCUUGAUUAUUAGUAUUCACUUUGACUCAAGGCCAUUGACUUGGAACAUUUACAGUGUGUUAUAAAAUAUUUCUUAUCACAAUUUAGCUUCAGUAGAGUACAUUUGCUUAGUUCCAGUAUUGUCGGAAUUACUAUCUAUCGGAAAGUGCAUAUUUACUAGGCAGUGUGAGUUGUGUCACCAUCAAAUUUUUUUUCCUUUGCUCGAGGACAAGCAAAGAUUUAAGUGUGGGGGAACUUGAUAAGCACAUUUCUUAUAUACUAUUUGGGCACACAAAUUCACCUUUUAUUGAGAUAUAUCCAUCCAUUCUUGCUAUGACUUGUUGAAUAUUUGAAUGAUAACCAUAAAAGAGAAUGUUGACUAGUGAAUUGUUUAUUUUGCAGAAAAGUGCGCAAAUGCACUAUAAUCGUCAAGACUUCUACUAUGUGGCUAACGAGAAGAGAGAAGGGCAUGAAAGAAAUACGUCAAGGCUUGAGCGUGAAGGAAAGAAGUAAUGUAGGGGAGCAAACUAAAAGAAGAGGAGGAUCUUCUUGGGAAGAAAGAAGAAAGGAGGAGGGCCAAAGUAAAAAAAGACAAAACAGAGGAGGGGAUCAAAAAUCCCUAGCGCAGCCGAUCCCCAUCAGGCCUCGCAUCUCACCUCUCUCCCUCACCCCUCCUUCUCCACCACCGGCCGUCGCCGCGGCCAGGCCGGCGUGGCGGUGCGCCUGCUGCUCCUCCACUCAGCCACGAGCACCAUCCGCCGCACCAUCCAUCCAUCCCAGCCGCGCCGCGCCAUCCAUCCACCACUCCACCAGCGUCACCAGCUCCACUUCACCACCGCGCCUCCACCAGCGCCCACCUCGCGCGCCCCUCCUGCCGCUUCCUCUCUGAACCUGCUAUUGCUGCUGCAUCUUCCUUCUUCCUCUUGACCUCCUGUUGCUCUUCUCCAAGCACCGCUGCUGCUCCUUCCUUGCAACCCCCCUGUUGUUGUUCAUCCUCUCCACCUCCUUGCGCCUCCCUGCCGGUACCCUUCUCUGCUGAAAACUGCUGCUGCUUGUGCGCUCCAGCUGCUCCUUCUUCUCCUGCCUACUGCUAGUUCUUCUUCCCCACAUCACUUUUGCUGCUCCUCUUCUCUGCCUCGCUACUGUUCUUCUUACCUGAACCUCAAAAUUGUUGCUGUUCUCUUCUAAACAACAAAACUGCUGCUACUACUACCUCAACCUCCUGUUGCUUUCUUUCUUUCUCACUCUCUUUGAAAUUUCUGUAAGAUUGAGACGCAUAUGAUUUGUAUUAUUCAGAUUUGAUAAGUGUUAGUAAUCUACUGUUGUUCAGUUCAGACUUCCUGUGUGUGUUAAUUAGUUAAAAUUGUCACUUCUGUACUGCUUGUUGCAGAUUCUUGAUCAUUUUUGUUAUCUAUGUGUUAGCUCAUGCAUCUGAGAAUUAUAAAGACUGUGUGGUUGAUGUGAAACAAUUAUAUAUAUGUCUCCUGUUUGUUAGUUAGUGGUUUGUAUAAAUUCGGAUUACUACUUGUGAUUUAAUUUUGUAUUGAAAUUGUUCUCUGUGGUAGUCAGUUGUGUGAUCAUUCAAUUUUCAGUCUAUGUAUUAGCUCUGUAC
Molecule: long non-coding RNA, 24478 nt
Filed under: Triticum aestivum (bread wheat)
Lineage: Eukaryota; Viridiplantae; Streptophyta; Magnoliopsida; Poales; Poaceae
Description: long non-coding RNA (TAES_LNC003365)
Source: RNAcentral